Molecule: long non-coding RNA, 375 nt
Filed under: Brassica napus (rape)
Lineage: Eukaryota; Viridiplantae; Streptophyta; Magnoliopsida; Brassicales; Brassicaceae
Description: long non-coding RNA (BNAP_LNC026361)
Source: RNAcentral
AGGAUCUACGACUUGGGUUUAGGGUAUAGAGUUUAGGUUUAUAGUCUAGUUUUUGGGUUUAGGGUAUAUAAUUUGGGUUUAGGGUCUAGAGUUUAGGGUUUAGGGUUUGGAUUUGAGUUUAGAAUUUAGGGUAUAGGGUUUAGAAUUUAGGGUUUCGGAUUUCGCUGGAAGCAUUAGCGUCGUUAAAAUUAGCAUUUUUAAAAUUAACGUUUAGGGUCUAUGAUUAGAGUUUAGGGUUUAGGGUUUGGAUUUGAGUUUAGAAUUUAUGGUAUAAGGUUUAGAAUUUAGGGUUUCGGAUUUUGCUGGAAACAUUAGCGUCGUUAAAAUUAGCAUUUUUAUUUUUGUAGCUAUUUUUUUGUUUAAUUUAAUGUUUUU